CCUACGGGAGGCUGCAGUGGGGGAUAUUGCACAAUGGGGGAAACCCUGAUGCAGCGACGCCGCGUGGGCGAAGAAGUAUUUCGGUAUGUAAAGCCCUAUCAGCAGGGAAGAAGAAAUGACGGUACCUGAGUAAGAAGCACCGGCUAAAUACGUGCCAGCAGCCGCGGUAAUACGUAGGGUGCAAGCGUUAUCCGGAUUUACUGGGUGGAAAGGGAGCGCAGGCGGCACGGCAAGCCUGAUGGGAAAGCCCGCGGCCCAACCGCGGGACUGCAUUGGGAACUACCGGGCUGGAGUGCCGGAGAGGUAGGCGGAAUUCCUAGUGUAGCGGUGAAAUGCGUAGAUAUUAGGAGGAACACCAGUGGCGAAGGCGGCCUACUGGACGGUGACUGACGCUGAGGCUCGAAAGCGUGGGGAGCAAACAGGAUUAGAUACCCCAGUAGUC
RNAcentral lists this ribosomal RNA (442 nucleotides) under uncultured bacterium. Its description in RNAcentral is "partial 16S ribosomal RNA". It matches the Rfam family "Bacterial small subunit ribosomal RNA", at positions 338 to 795 of the family's 1533-position model. The record is from RNAcentral.